RNAcentral lists this ribosomal RNA (252 nucleotides) under uncultured bacterium. Its description in RNAcentral is "partial 16S ribosomal RNA". It matches the Rfam family "Bacterial small subunit ribosomal RNA", at positions 524 to 776 of the family's 1533-position model. The record is from RNAcentral.
UACGUAGGGAGCGAGCGUUGUCCGGAAUUACUGGGUGUAAAGGGAGCGUAGGCGGGGAUGCAAGUUGGGUGUCAAAACUACCGGCUCAACUGGUAGUCGCACUCAAAACUGCAGCUCUUGAGUGAAGUAGAGGCAGGCGGAAUUCCUAGUGUAGCGGUGAAAUGCGUAGAUAUUAGGAGGAACACCAGUGGCGAAGGCGGAUGACUGGACGGCAACUGACGGUGAGGCGCGAAAGCGUGGGGAGCAAACAGG